Molecule: microRNA, 24 nt
Filed under: Lonicera japonica
Lineage: Eukaryota; Viridiplantae; Streptophyta; Magnoliopsida; Dipsacales; Caprifoliaceae
Description: u3464767
Source: RNAcentral
AUCCGAGACCUUGCAGAACCUGAC